This 114-nucleotide small RNA is filed under the name Pongo abelii (Sumatran orangutan). Its description in RNAcentral is "processed transcript". The record is from RNAcentral. Lineage: Eukaryota; Metazoa; Chordata; Mammalia; Primates; Hominidae.
CACAUGGAAGAUCCCAGAGAGAGACAGAGACAGGGAGACAGAGACAGAGAUAGAGGAAGGACAAGAAAGAUGACAAGGACUCGCCCAAGAAGAACAAGGGCAAGGAGCGCCGGG